ACGGGAGGCAGCAGUGGGGAAUAUUGCACAAUGGGGGAAACCCUGAUGCAGCGACGCCGCGUGAGUGAAGAAGUAUUUCGGUAUGUAAAGCUCUAUCAGCAGGGAAGAUAAUGACGGUACCUGACUAAGAAGCACCGGCUAAAUACGUGCCAGCAGCCGCGGUAAUACGUAUGGUGCAAGCGUUAUCCGGAUUUACUGGGUGUAAAGGGAGCGUAGACGGCUGUGCAAGUCUGAAGUGAAAGCCCCGGGCUCAACUCGGGAACUGCUUUGGAAACUGUGCAGCUAGAGUGCAGGAGAGGUAAGUGGAAUUCCUAGUGUAGCGGUGAAAUGCUUAGAUAUUAGGAGGAACACCGGUGGCGAAGGCGGCUUGCUGGACUGAUACUGACACUGAGGCACGAAAGCGUGGGGAGCAAACAGGAUUAGAUACCCUGGUA
This 434-nucleotide ribosomal RNA is filed under the name uncultured Lachnospiraceae bacterium. RNAcentral describes it as "partial 16S ribosomal RNA". It matches the Rfam family "Bacterial small subunit ribosomal RNA", at positions 341 to 792 of the family's 1533-position model. The record is from RNAcentral. Lineage: Bacteria; Bacillati; Bacillota; Clostridia; Lachnospirales; Lachnospiraceae.